RNAcentral lists this ribosomal RNA (439 nucleotides) under uncultured bacterium. RNAcentral's name for it is "partial 16S ribosomal RNA". It matches the Rfam family "Bacterial small subunit ribosomal RNA", at positions 339 to 795 of the family's 1533-position model. The record is from RNAcentral.
CUACGGGUCGCAGCAUUUAUUAAUCUUUCACAAUGGGGGGAACCCUGAUGCAGCAACUCCGCGUGGAGGAUGACGCAUUUCGGUGUGUAAACUCCUUUUAUAUGUCAAGAAAAUGACGGUAGCAUAUGAAUAAGCACCGGCUAACUCCGUGCCAGCAGCCGCGGUAAUACGGAGGGUGCAAGCGUUACUCGGAAUCACUGGGCGUAAAGGACGCGUAGGCGGGUUGGAAAGUCAGGUGUGAAAUCCUACAGCUUAACUGUAGAACUGCACUUGAAACUUCUAAUCUAGAGUAUGGGAGGGGGAGAUGGAAUUAGUGGUGUAGGGGUAAAAUCCGUAGAUAUCACUAGGAAUACCUAAAGCGAAGGCGAUCUCCUGGAACAUUACUGACGCUAAGGCGUGAAAGCGUGGGGAGCAAACAGGAUUAGAUACCCUCGUAGUC